Molecule: ribosomal RNA, 291 nt
Filed under: uncultured prokaryote
Description: partial 16S ribosomal RNA
Rfam family: Bacterial small subunit ribosomal RNA
Source: RNAcentral
GUGUCAGCAGCCGCGGUAAUACGUAUGGGGCAAGCGUUGUCCGGAAUUAUUGGGCGUAAAGGGUACGUAGGCGGUUAAUUAAGUCUGAAUUAAAAGGCUGUGGCUCAACCACAGUAAGGUCCAGAUACUGAUUAACUUGAGUAGAUGAGGGGAAAGUGGAAUUCCAUGUGUAGCGGUGAAAUGCGUAGAUAUAUGGAGGAACACCAAUGGCGAAGGCAACUUUCUGGAAUCAAACUGACGCUGAGGUACGAAGGCGUGGGGAGCAAACAGGAUUAGAUACCCCUGUAGUCC